AGACUAGAUUCCAAGGCCCUUGGAGUCCCCACAGAAGUUAUCUGAACGGCGGGUCUGCGGACCCUGAACAGCGUUUGGGUCUGUAGCUCAGUUGGUUAGAGCGCACCCCUGAUAAGGGUGAGGUCGCUGGUUCAACUCCAGCCAGACCCACCAGUCCCGACUGGGGCCAUAGCUCAGCUGGGAGAGCGCCUGCCUUGCACGCAGGAGGUCGGGAGUUCGAUCCUCCCUGGCUCCACCACUCCUGUACAGUCGUCGCAUCGCCCCAACGAACCCAGUCCUCAAGACUUAUCAAGUGAGUGUUCAGGACUUGGUUUGACCAAGUACGAGUUCUUUAACAAAACGGUGAGAUCGUAAGGCGUCUGAACGGAGUCGUAUCCGCUCAGAGCAACGUAGGUGACGUCAAUGACGUGACCCCGAUCG
RNAcentral lists this transfer RNA (420 nucleotides) under Allochromatium vinosum. RNAcentral's name for it is "partial 16S-23S ribosomal RNA intergenic spacer". The stretch from base 77 to 150 matches the Rfam family "tRNA". The record is from RNAcentral. Lineage: Bacteria; Pseudomonadati; Pseudomonadota; Gammaproteobacteria; Chromatiales; Chromatiaceae.